UGGAGUUAACACCCAAAGUGC
RNAcentral lists this non-coding RNA (21 nucleotides) under Mus musculus (house mouse). Lineage: Eukaryota; Metazoa; Chordata; Mammalia; Rodentia; Muridae. The record is from RNAcentral.